RNAcentral lists this unclassified non-coding RNA (152 nucleotides) under soil metagenome. Its description in RNAcentral is "partial internal transcribed spacer 1". The record is from RNAcentral.
CCGAGUUACAACUCCAUAACCCCUGUGAACAUACCUAACGUGUUGCCUCGGCGGAUACAGCCGGCUCCCCGUAAACGGGACGGCCCCCGCCAGAGGACCCCCUAAACUCUGUUUCUAUAAUGUAACUUCUGAGUAAACCAGUAAAUAAAUCA